CGCUAGCGAUGAGGUGAUGGUUCUCGUCCUUAUAUUGGGGCGGGAUGAAAAGGGAACUCGGUGCGGUCCAGCCCGGCAAUGCCGGAACGGACCAAGGCCGCGACUGCCCCCGCAACUGUAAGCGGUAAGCAAUGCCGAAAUACCACUGGCCGAAAGGCUGGGAAGGUCGGCAAAGCAAUGACCCGCAAGUCAGGAGACCUGCCAUCAAAGUAAAAACCGA
Molecule: non-coding RNA, 220 nt
Filed under: Ruegeria atlantica
Lineage: Bacteria; Pseudomonadati; Pseudomonadota; Alphaproteobacteria; Rhodobacterales; Roseobacteraceae
Source: RNAcentral